GAGAAAGAGAAUCCAUACAGCCGAUCCUAAAUUUUUGAGAUGAAUGCUUAGUUGAGUUGAGUUAAAUAUAGAUUGAGCUGCUUCAGAUUGAUGUGAUAACUAUAAAUAUUGGUAAUACCUUUUGGAAGUAUUUCUUUAUUUAAUUAUGACAUUCAUAUUAUGGCUAAGUAUCUAAUCUAACCAAAAAAAAGAGAGAGGGAGGGGGGGUGUGGUGGGAGAGAAAUAAUACUUAUGUAUUAUGUAUUUUUCUUUUAAAUAGACACAGACGUGCAUGUAUAAAACUAUUUAUUGUUACAUGUAAAAUAGGUUUACUGCUAAACAAUUUCAAAAAUAUCUUUCAGUGUGUUUAUUCUUAUGUAGGCCAGGCCAUUGGUGGAGUUUCACACAGGCUAGGGUUGCUUUGGAUAUGGAAAUUUAAUGUUUAUGGUUUGUGUGCCAAAGUAGCAUGAGGAUGCACACCCCCACCACCCCCCAACCCACCCCCCCUCUUCUUCCCGCUCCCCCUCCCCUCUCUCUUCCCCUCCUCUUCUCUUUAUGGUUUAUCUGAUUCACCUUUCAAAUGCCAUCAAACCAUGUAUGCUGCAUUUGAUAUGUGCAUAGAUGUCUAAUUUUCUGACCUAAGCUGACCCAUCUGUUUCGCACUAAAUCCAAAAUGUCCUAGAAAUCUUAGGUUUAAUCCAAUAUGCCUGAAAUAAUUUAUUUUUAAAUUGAAGGUAUUUGUAAAAAAAAAAGUAAAAAAAGAAAAAAGCAAAAUUACACAAAGACCUGAAGAAGUUGAAAUGAAUUUCCAAAAGUGGCCCAUUAGGUAAUUCAAACUCAAACAGAGCCCAAGCAACGAAAACCCAUCUGGGAAAAUGCAGCACCUGAAACUUUCUAAACGCAUACCUGACCUGACUUGAAUGCAACUUUUUUGUGUGUGUAUUGUAUAGAUUGUGGCAAAAUUCCUGUGCAGCAUAAGAUAUUGCCAAACAUGCCUGUACCACUGCUGUAGGGCUGUUAUUAGCUUAAUUUUUUGGAUGGUGAUUGCUUUGAAGACUGUUAUCUUAUCCCAGAAGUGAAAGCAAGAAAUAUGUUCUCAAACCUCUUUGCAGUGUCUCUUAUAGGCAAGAUAGUGUUGAGUUCCCAUAGUAUUGAACUCCAACAUGUGUGAUGUCUCAUGUCUCAGGUUUUAGUUCUUCUCCUGCUAACUUCUGGAAGAGAUCCUGGCAUAAUUCCCCGCAAUGCACAUCCUCCAGAACCAGAAGGCUUUGAUGGAACUGCAGAUGUUGGUGCUGGUCAAACUCCACAGUUACGUUUGCCACGCAUUAAGGAGGUAGAGGUCAAUGGAGCAACUGUGAAGAUUAAGUACUGUGAUACUUGCAUGCUUUACAGGCCACCUCGCUGUUCACACUGUUCAAUAUGCAAUAACUGUGUAGAACGAUUUGACCAUCACUGUCCUUGGGUUGGGCAAUGUAUUGGGUUGGUAAGUGAUCCUUUGUUUAGAAUCAUGUUUACCAUAGCCAAGCUCAAUGUUUAGUGAGAAAAAGAAAUGUUACUGUCUCUGGCUGUGAUGAUAAUUACUUGGACACAAGCUUGAUUGAUUUCAUCUCAAACUCAGAUAUGACCCACAAUUUUUAACAAUAGCUGUUUUUAAAACUUGUUUUACCAAGCAUUAAUAAUUGUUGCAGUUAAUCUGAUGGCCUUUUUGAAUUCGUUUAUUGUUAAUUUGUGGAUAAUGUGUCUGAAGGAAAAAUUUUGAUGCAGAGAAAUUAUCGAUUCUUCUUCAUGUUUGUCUUCUCAGCAACCCUUCUUUGUAUAUAUGUUUUUGCAUUCUGCUGGGUCUACAUUAGGAGGAUCAUGGUAUCAGAGCACACAUCAAUUUGGAAAGCAAUGAUCAAAACUCCUGCCUCCAUUGUUCUAAUAGUUUACACUUUCAUAUCAAUGUGGUUUGUCGGUGGCCUUACUGCCUUCCAUUUAUAUCUCAUUAGUACUAAUCAAACUACUUACGAGAAUUUUAGAUACCGAUAUGAUAGGAGAGCAAAUCCCUAUAAUAAAGGCGUGGUUGAGAACUUUAAAGAAAUCUUUUGCUCCAGUAUUCCUCCUUCCAAGAACAAUUUCGGGGCAAAGGUACCAAGAGAACCUUUACCAACUCGACCAAUUGGUGGAGGUUUCAUGAGUCCUAAUAUGGGGAAAGCUGUGGAUGACAUAGAAAUGGGCAGGAAAACAGUGUGGGGAGAUAUGGGUGCUAUGGCUGAUCAUGGUGAGGGGCAACUCGCAAACAAUGAUCGCUUGAACAUAAAGGAUGGUGAAUUAAGUGAGGUAUCCCCAGACAUAAGGACUGUAGUGGAGGAAGGGGACCACAGUGGAAUACAUCCAAGAAGAUCUAGCUGGGGUAGAAAAAGUGGAAGCUGGGAGAUGUCACCUGAAGUUCUUGCCUUGGCGGCCAGAGUACGGGAACCAAACCGUGCGGGUGGGAGUGGCAGUGGUAGCUUGACAACUGAGAACCGAGUUUCAUAGCCUGAAAUUUGUCUUAUAACUAAUCCAAUAGAUUCAUGGGGAUUUGAUCAGUUGAGUACAAGGUGAGACCAUUUGAGUCCAUGCUCCAAACUAUGUUAUGUGCAGCAUGGGAGAACCUUUUUAGCCGAGUGUUUGGAAGAAUUGGUUUGGUCAUUGUUCUUGUGGGGGGUGUGAUGGAAUGAUGUAUUGUUGUAUGAGUGGGACUUCUUUUUCUCUUCUCUUAUUCGAUUUUUCGUUUGUAUUUGUGGAAUUAGUUAGCAUAUAAUUUUAUUUCAUUUCACUUGUGUAACAAGUCAUUGUUAUUUUGUGUCCCGAGUCUCAAGAUUCUGCAUGAGCAAUUUUACAUUAAAUGGCAAGCAAAUAAAGACAUAAA
This 2869-nucleotide unclassified non-coding RNA is filed under the name Hevea brasiliensis (rubber tree). Lineage: Eukaryota; Viridiplantae; Streptophyta; Magnoliopsida; Malpighiales; Euphorbiaceae. The record is from RNAcentral.